RNAcentral lists this ribosomal RNA (254 nucleotides) under uncultured bacterium. Its description in RNAcentral is "partial 16S ribosomal RNA". It matches the Rfam family "Bacterial small subunit ribosomal RNA", at positions 525 to 776 of the family's 1533-position model. The record is from RNAcentral.
ACGUAGGGUGCAAGCAUUAUCCGGAGUAACUGGGCGUAAAGAGUUGCGUAGGUGGUUAGUAAAGUGAAUAGUGAAAUCUGGUGGCUCAACCAUACAGACUAUUAUUCAAACUCACUAACUCGAGAAUGGUAGAGGUAACUGGAAUUUCUUGUGUAGGAGUGAAAUCCGUAGAUAUAAGAAGGAACACCAAUGGCGUAGGCAGGUUACUGGACCAUUUCUGACACUGAGGCACGAAAGCGUGGGGAGCGAACCGG